UACGGAGGAUCCGAGCGUUAUCCGGAAUCAUUGGGUUUAAAGGGUCCGUAGGUGGACUGUUAAGUCAGAGGUGAAAUCCUGCAGCUCAACUGUAGAAUUGCCUUUGAUACUGGCGGUCUUGAGUUAUUGUGAAGUGGUUAGAAUAUGUAGUGUAGCGGUGAAAUGCAUAGAUAUUACAUAGAAUACCGAUUGCGAAGGCAGAUCACUAACAAUCAACUGACACUGAUGGACGAAAGCGUGGGGAGCGAACAGG
This 253-nucleotide ribosomal RNA is filed under the name uncultured bacterium. RNAcentral's name for it is "partial 16S ribosomal RNA". It matches the Rfam family "Bacterial small subunit ribosomal RNA", at positions 524 to 776 of the family's 1533-position model. The record is from RNAcentral.